Non-coding RNA from Labeo rohita (rohu), 522 nucleotides. The record is from the annotation of a RefSeq genome assembly. NCBI's taxonomy places the organism in Eukaryota, Metazoa, Chordata, Actinopteri, Cypriniformes, Cyprinidae.
GGCUCCUCCCAGUGAUCAAGUGAUUUGACUUUUUGCUGCUUUAACAGAUGCGAAAAAAGGAAGGCAAUCAAAACAUCUCUGCAUAUUUGGCAAUUUCAAUUACAUAUAAUGGCAUUGUGGAAAAGUGCUAUUGUGAUCAUGGUUUUAUACAUCUGGGGUUGUAAUUCCCAAGACAAAGUUGAUCAGCACAGAAGGAUUCAAUCUGCUUUUGAAGGUGAUACUGUAACGAUCGACUGUACAUAUGAGACUACUUAUGCAGGCCCGACUCUCUUCUGGUACCAGCAGAAAGUCAAUGGCAAUCCCAAGUACAUGUUAAAUAAAAUCUCUAAAUCUGGACACACUGAGGAAGAAUUCAAGGAGAGAUUUCAUGCGGAUCUCAACAAAACUGCAGUUCCUCUAACAAUCCAGGAUGUGCGUGUGUCUGACUCUGCUGUGUACUACUGUGCUCUGCAGCCCACAGUGACUAAAAACACUCAACACUCAUACAAAAACCCCAUUACAUGUCAUCAUUAUGUAAUUUAA